AAAAAAAAAAAAAAAAAAAAAAAAAGAGGCAUGAAAUAAAUCUGGACAAACCAUUCUCCUAGAAGCUGAGAACUUGCCCAGUGCUACCCCCAGAAAUGGCCAAGUGUUCACAAAAAAGCUGAAUUUUCAAACACAGAGCAGAUAGGGGUGAGCAUUACAGCUUUAAAAGUUUCCGAAUGGAGUAAUGUACUGGGACUCUGUAUCGUGUGGUCAUCGGUUAUAAGCCAGUACUCAUGUUGGACGCUGAUUGCAUUGUACUGAUGCAAUCAGAUUAAAGCAACAGGUGGGAGGAUCUUUUUUCACUGGGAGAAAGGAGAAUGAAAUACUCUAAUGCACCCGUAUGGUGGAGUGCUGAGUACAACAAACAAGACAUCCUUUGAAGCUUUCUUCUUUUCAGUGAUUAAAAUCCCUGCUUAAAUUCUGAUGCUAUGCUUACCAAGAAAGCCACCGACUUUAAACAAUUCAUUUUCUGAUCUACAAUACUUCCAUCUUUCUCACUCAUCCAAAGACAUUCAAUUUCCAAUACAGUAUUUUGGAAGGAAAAAUCUUAAUGGAGUUCAGUAGCAUGCUUGAUGAAUGCACCCACAACUUUCCUGUCCAUGCAAAACCAUAAUAAUUGCUGCUAAGAAACUAGGUCGAAGAUGAUGAGCUUUCUGGUUCAUCAUGUGUUUGUUAACAACUGUGCUAAAAUGUUAGUUGUAGGUUGUGUCAGCUCGAUUUCCUUGGACAUCAAACUUUGUAUUGAUGGCAGUAGCAUGCUGCAGUUGACCUGGAUGGUCAAAGAUAGAGCACAGUGGAAGAACGGAAGUUGUGAUCAGCAUGCACAAAAUCAUUGCAGUUAUGCUGUUAGAUUUUUCUUCACAAACGAAAGGACAUGAGCCAGUAACGUGCCCUCACAGCCCAGAAAGCCAACCAUAUCCUGGGCUGCAUCAAAAGAAGUGUGGCCAGCAGGGUGACAGAGGUGAUCCUGCCCAUCUGCUCCGUAUUGGUGAGGCCUCACCUGAAGUACUGCGUCCAGAUGUGGAGUCCUCAGUACAGGAGAGAUAAGGACCUGUUGGAGCAUAUCCAGAAAAAGGCCACAGAAAUGAUCCAAGGGAUGGAACACCUCUCCUACAAGGACUGGCUGAGAGAGCUGGGUCUGUUCAGCUUGGAGAAGGCUUCAGGGAGACUGGAAAGCAGCCUUUCAGUGUCUAAAGGGGAGUUACAGGAAAGAAGGGGACAGACUCUUUAGCAGGGUCUGUUAUGACAGGACAAGGGGAAAUGGUUUCAAACUAAGAGAUUUAGAUUGGACAUAAGGAAGAAGUUUUUUACAAUAAGGCUGGUGAGACACUGGAACUUGUUGCCCAGAAAUAUGUUGGAAGCCCUAUCCCAGGGAAUGUUUAAGGCCAGGCUGGUUGGGGCUUUGAGCAAUCUGAUCUAACUGCAAAUGUUCCUGUUCAUUGCAGGGGAGUUGGACUAGAUGGCCUUUAAAGGUCCCUUCCAAUUCUAAGGGUUCUAUGAAAUACAUGCAUGUGUAGAUGGCUGUCAAACUUGACAUUAGUUCUUGAAUGUAAAAGACCGCAAAGUCACUCAAAAGAUUUAAGAGCUGUUCAAUAAAAUUAAUCAUCUGACCCAGAAACUGGAAUCAGAUAAUGCUUAAUGAACAUAUUAAUUAAACUCCAAGCAGCAAGUUUCCAAAUUACCAGUGUGGGUUGCACUUUUAUACUGCCUAGAAUAAUCUUUUUAAAAUAUUGCAUGCUGUCUGAAUGCAAUUAAAGAUCUCCAGAUAAGCUUAUGCUAUCGCCCCCUUGGAUUUGCUAAAACCUUCAUGUAAGAACAAAAGAGCACCCUAUGUAUGUAACUUCCUUGCAACAGACUGACAGGAUUGAAAAACAAACAAACAAACAAACAAACAGUAAAUACAUUGAUUAAUCAUUUUUGAGAUAAAAGUAGGAAGGUCUUGCUAUUUUUCUGUCUUGGUGAAAUAUUCUGAAUGGAAUGCAAGGCAGCAUGCCCCCUUCUGAAAUGGUGACCACUAAACAGGUAAUUAUUAAGAGGGUAAUUUCAAUUGGAUAGAGACAUUGUUAGCUGCAGCAGUAAACUGAAUCCUGAAUGUGUUUUACAUAGAAAAGCUAAGUUCAGACCUCUGAGGAAUCUCUAAUUGUCUAAUGAAAAAAAUAUAGAUUUCCUUUUCUAUUAUUAUUUUUAAUGUUGAGCUGCACGUCAGUAAUGCAACUGUGCAUGGACUUAAGUAGCAUUUGAAGUGAUCUAUAGGGACAUAGACUCCUCUACCAUUCUGCAGUACUUCCAGCAAUAUUCAUAAGGAAAAACAGACAAGUUCACAAAGCCUAUUCUUUCUCCUUUUCUUAUUAUUUUCUUAUUUCUUAUGGUCAACAACAUGGUCAACAUUGUCACCAUCAUAUCAUCAACAAAACAACUUUUUAUCUUUGGAAGA
Long non-coding RNA from Tympanuchus pallidicinctus (lesser prairie-chicken), 2434 nucleotides. RefSeq lists it as uncharacterized. Lineage: Eukaryota; Metazoa; Chordata; Aves; Galliformes; Phasianidae. The transcript has 4 exons. The record is from RefSeq and is a predicted model, not a curated record.